ACGUAGGUGGCAAGCGUUGUCCGGAAUUAUUGGGCGUAAAGCGCGCGCAGGUGGGAUCUUAAGUCCAUUUUGAAAGUUCGGAGCUCAACUCCGUGAUGGGAUGGAAAGUGGGAUUCUUGAGUAUCAGAGAGGAAAGCGGAAUUCCCCGUGUAGCGGUGAAAUGCUGAGAUUUCACGAAGAAGUCCGAUUGCGAAGGCAGCUUACUGGAUUGUAACUGACGCUGAUGCUCGAAAGUGUGGGUAUCUAACAG
RNAcentral lists this ribosomal RNA (250 nucleotides) under uncultured prokaryote. RNAcentral's name for it is "partial 16S rRNA". It matches the Rfam family "Bacterial small subunit ribosomal RNA", at positions 525 to 775 of the family's 1533-position model. The record is from RNAcentral.